RNAcentral lists this ribosomal RNA (397 nucleotides) under uncultured bacterium. RNAcentral's name for it is "bacterial SSU rRNA". It matches the Rfam family "Bacterial small subunit ribosomal RNA", at positions 362 to 776 of the family's 1533-position model. The record is from RNAcentral.
UAUUGCACAAUGGGUGAAACCCUGAUGCAGCAACGCUGCGUGAGUGAAGAAGUAUUUCGAUAUGUAAAGCUCUAUCAGCAGGGAAGAAGAUGACGGUACCUGAGUAAGAAGCCCCGGCUAACUACGUGCCAGCAGCCGCGGUAAUACGUAGGGGGCAAGCGUUAUCCGGAUUUACUGGGUGUAAAGGGAGUGUAGACGGCAUAGCAAGUCUGAAGUGAAAGCCCAAGGCUCAACCAUGGGACUGCUUUGGAAACUGUUAAGCUAGAGUGCUGGAGAGGUAAGCGGAAUUCCUAGUGUAGCGGUGAAAUGCGUAGAUAUUAGGAAGAACACCAGUGGCGAAGGCGGCUUACUGGACUGUAACUGACACUGAGGCUCGAAAGCGUGGGGAGCAAACAGG